This is a non-coding RNA of Hordeum vulgare subsp. vulgare (domesticated barley), 120 nucleotides long. NCBI's taxonomy places the organism in Eukaryota, Viridiplantae, Streptophyta, Magnoliopsida, Poales, Poaceae. The record is from Rfam.
GUAGUACUCCCUCCGUUCGAAAAUACUUGUCAUAGAAAUAAAUGUAUGUAGAUGUAUUUUAAUUCCAUAUACAUUUAUUUUUAUACAAUUAUGCGACAAGUAGGACGGAGGGAGUAGAUG